RNAcentral lists this transfer-messenger RNA (406 nucleotides) under Prevotellaceae bacterium. It matches the Rfam family "transfer-messenger RNA". From Rfam's summary of the family: Bacterial tmRNA, also known as 10Sa RNA or SsrA, is named for its dual tRNA and mRNA-like properties. Lineage: Bacteria; Pseudomonadati; Bacteroidota; Bacteroidia; Bacteroidales; Prevotellaceae. The record is from RNAcentral.
GGGGAUGUUUUUGGUUUUGACAGCAAGGUUAGAUUGAAAUGCAAGCACGUCGAGCGUUGAGGGUGUGGCUCGUAAAUCCCAAUUCUCAAGCCAUUAAUUGGCAACAACAACUAUGCACUCGCGGCCUGAUACACCAAGUGUAACGGCUUAAUCCGGUAACCCAAGGCGGUUGUCGGACGAGAAUCUCGCAAAAGACUAGCCCUUCGGUUUUUUGAUUUUGAGGUUUCAUUUUAGGAAAGGACAGUAUGCGGCGACGCCUUUAACCGUGUAUGAAAAUUUAAAGGAUAAGGAUAAAACCGAUAGCUUCUUGUCAAGUUCUAUCCCGACAAUUGAAAAGAAGAUAAGCGUGUAGAAAACGUUUUGGCCACUUGUUUGGACGCGGGUUCGACUCCCGCCAUCUCCACAA